UGGCUCAGGAUGAACGCUGGCGUCGUGCCUAACACAUGCAAGUCGAGCGAUUCUCGUCGGAGAAGAGCGGCGGACGGGUGAGUAACGCGUGGGUAACCUGCCCUGUACACACGGAUAACAUACCGAAAGGUAUGCUAAUACGAGAUAAUAUGCUUUUGUCGCAUGGUAGAAGUAUCAAAGCUCCGGCGGUACUGGAUGGACCCGCGUCUGAUUAGCUAGUUGGUAAGGUAACGGCUUACCAAGGCGACGAUCAGUAGCCGACCUGAGAGGGUGAUCGGCCACAUUGGAACUGAGACACGGUCCAAACUCCUACGGGAGGCAGCAGUGGGGAAUAUUGCACAAUGGGCGAAAGCCUGAUGCAGCAACGCCGCGUGAGCGAUGAAGGCCUUCGGGUUCGUAAAGCUCUGUCCUCAAGGAAGAUAAUGACGGUACUUGAGGAGGAAGCCCCGGCUAACUACGUGCCAGCAGCCGCGGUAAUACGUAGGGGGCUAGCGUUAUCCGGAAUUACUGGGCGUAAAGGGUGCGUAGGUGGUUUCUUAAGUCAGAGGUGAAAGGCUACGGCUCAACCGUAGUAAGCCUUUGAAACUGGGAAACUUGAGUGCAGGAGAGGAGAGUGGAAUUCCUAGUGUAGCGGUGAAAUGCGUAGAUAUUAGGAGGAACACCAGUUGCGAAGGCGGCUCUCUGGACUGUAACUGACACUGAGGCACGAAAGCGUGGGGAGCAAACAGGAUUAGAUACCCUGGUAGUCCACGCCGUAAACGAUGAGUACUAGCUAUCGGAGGUUACCCCCUUCGGUGGCGCAGCUAACG
RNAcentral lists this ribosomal RNA (809 nucleotides) under uncultured bacterium. RNAcentral describes it as "bacterial SSU rRNA". It matches the Rfam family "Bacterial small subunit ribosomal RNA", at positions 20 to 857 of the family's 1533-position model. The record is from RNAcentral.